AUGAGAUCCAAACCCCCAAGACCCAGUCCAACAAUCAACGUGUGGAACCACAUGGGUGACUGGGGCCAUAGGGCUGAUGGAGACAGCGAGCACAGGAUUCACUCUGCCUUGAGAGACAGCAGGAGCAAGAGGGAGCUGGCUUGUAGGUAGCUGCUGCCCAGACCUCUGCACAGUGGUGAAAAGGGACACCAGGAGGAAACACUGGGAGAAAAGAAGGAUGGGAAGAAAAAUAAUCAUGAAAACUGGUGAAAAAAUAGCAUCUUGGUGGAAAACUAAAGCAGUUACUGGAGCAGUCAUCUGCUGGGGCAUGGAAGGCAUGGAGGUGAGGUGGUAUUGGCUUCAAGGCAUGGGGAUAUGGCACUGAAGGAUGCAGUGAGAACCUACAUGGACUUUGAGUUCCAACAGAGCAGCAAUAUACUCAGUGCACCACUUUUGGACCAAAGCAAACAUUUCACUGCUGUGUGACAGCAAGGUGGCAAGCAGCUGCUCCAAUACAUGGCACAGCAGUGGUGCGCACACAUCACCAGCUGUGGCAGCUCCACACCAACAGCGCUCAGCGUGCAGCAUGCUUGGUGAUUCUGCAACCACAAAUAAAUGGAAAGGAGCACAGCUGAGCUCUCAUCUGAAAGAUGAGUCAAAGGCAAACCGCGGGAUCCAGCUUUGAGCACCACCGGUGAGUCAGUGCUGCCAGGAUGCUCCAGGAUCCUCGGCUCCGCACACAGCCGGCAGCGAUGCCCACAGUGGGGUUGGUACCUCCAAGCUGACCUUUGUGAAAACUGAUGCAGACAGAGAGCCGAGGGAACAGCUCAUGUCCUCACCUGCUAUUUUCCAGCCAUUGCACAGCUCCGGAGAAGGAACUUGGUAGCUAGCCCACGAGUGCAUAAGAUGGUUAUGCUGUCACUCGGAAGGACUCAUGUUACUGUAAUUCUUCUGUGUUGAGAAGAGAUGGAAAAUAAAACCCCAUUUUCCUGAAAUGAUCCUCACUCUUCAUACUUGCUCAGUAUCUAUGGCAUGUGGGCACCACACCAGCUCUAAUGGGGUCAAGGAUAGGGACAUUCUGACUCUGGGAGCCUCUCCUUCUGGUAAAACAAUCCCAGCUUGACCUGCUGGCAGCAGGCACAAACACACCAAGCAUCAAAUGGUGGGGGCUAGAGCAUAGGCAGCAGAUGGCUUCUAGCAGCCUGGAUGCACCAGCAGACAACAGAUGUGGUCCCAUCACUUUUCAUUUUCAUUUCUGUCAUAGCUAGAAUUUCUCAAGAAGAACCCAAAGCAUGGAAGCAGCAGUUGGAGGAUCCCAAUGCUGCCUAAACAGAGCACAGCACACACUCCCCUGCAUGCCUCUCCUGAUGAAGUGAGCACUUUCUUGGAAAAAUCAGAUUUCAAGAAAGGUUGCAAGUAGUUGAUUGCAUACAAUCACCUCUCCUCUUUUAGCAUGGAAGCCAAGUAAUAAGUGUGCCAGUUCCAUUUUCAUUUUUCAUCUCC
Molecule: long non-coding RNA, 1482 nt
Filed under: Meleagris gallopavo (turkey)
Lineage: Eukaryota; Metazoa; Chordata; Aves; Galliformes; Phasianidae
Description: lncRNA (ENSMGAG00000017521.1)
Source: RNAcentral